Molecule: long non-coding RNA, 322 nt
Organism: Glycine soja
Lineage: Eukaryota; Viridiplantae; Streptophyta; Magnoliopsida; Fabales; Fabaceae
Exons: 3
Source: RefSeq, a predicted model, not a curated record
UCAAUGAUGGGGAGGACUAUUGGCUUCUCGCAAAUCAGUGGAACAGAGAAUGAGGAGAUGAUGGUUACUUCAAGAUCCGAAGAGGGAAAAACGAAUGUGGGAUUGAAGAGGAUGUAACUGCUGGUUGGCCUUCCACCAAAAACCUCGUCAUAGAGGUUUUUUUUACGAGCAUUAAACCUUACUAUGUUGUGGUUGUUUAAAUCUUUUGUUGUUGGUUCGUUGUUUCAUUAUUAUUAUUUGUUUGAAUUUGAAAUUUGGUUUGGUAGAAUUUUAAAAUGUGUCAAGUCCUUAGUUGAUAAUGAAUAUAAGAAUAUAAUCAAUU